CGGAGGAUCCAAGCGUUAUCCGGAAUCAUUGGGUUUAAAGGGUCCGUAGGCGGGUUUAUAAGUCAGUGGUGAAAGCCCAUCGCUCAACGAUGGAACGGCCAUUGAUACUGUAGAUCUUGAAUUAUUAGGAAGUAACUAGAAUAUGUAGUGUAGCGGUGAAAUGCUUAGAGAUUACAUGGAAUACCAAUUGCGAAGGCAGGUUACUACUAAUGGAUUGACGCUGAUGGACGAAAGCGUGGGUAGCGAACAGGAUUAGAUACCCUGGUAGUCCACGCCGUAAACGAUGGAUACUAGCUGUUCGGAGCAAUCUGAGUGGCUAAGCGAAAGUGAUAAGUAUCCCACCUGGGGAGUACGUUCCCAAGAAUG
This 366-nucleotide ribosomal RNA is filed under the name uncultured organism. RNAcentral describes it as "bacterial SSU rRNA". It matches the Rfam family "Bacterial small subunit ribosomal RNA", at positions 526 to 896 of the family's 1533-position model. The record is from RNAcentral.